This 73-nucleotide transfer RNA is filed under the name Ictidomys tridecemlineatus (thirteen-lined ground squirrel). RNAcentral describes it as "Spermophilus tridecemlineatus (thirteen-lined ground squirrel) tRNA". It matches the Rfam family "tRNA". From Rfam's summary of the family: Transfer RNA (tRNA) molecules are approximately 80 nucleotides in length. The record is from Rfam by way of RNAcentral. Lineage: Eukaryota; Metazoa; Chordata; Mammalia; Rodentia; Sciuridae.
GGGGAUAUAGCUCAGUCGGUAGAGUGCUUGCCUCACAGGUACAAUGCCCUAGGUUCAAAACCCAGCACCCCCC